GACAGAGGCUCAACCCACUGGGCCACCCAGGCGCCCCUAAAAAGUUUUUUGAAAAACCUUUUUUCUCCAAGUAAUAAAGGCCCACAUUCCUGCUGUGUCACUGACACCGUGCGCGGAGGUACCGCAGCACCGUGUGUUGCUCAGAGCCUUUGUGUUCCAGUCCAGCCCGUCCCUCUUCCGUGGAAGUAACUGUCACUGCAGUUCAGGCUGAACGAUUCUGGCGGAGACCUUACCCAGAACCCCAGUGGCCAGCGGUCAUCAGUUCACCCCCUCCAUCCAUCAGUGGGUCUCUCUCUCCAUCUGUUGACCCAUCCAUCGGUCCCCUUCCCCACCCAUCGGAGUAUCAUCCGUGUGCAUCCGGAUAUAAAGAACGCGGGCCCUCCAAUUCCAUUUACCUGAAGCCCCAGGACACGCCAGACUGAUGUGUGGUGACGCAGGUCAGGCUACCGGAAACUGACAAGGAAGAUGCAGGAGCCAACUUCUUGGAAAAUGGAAAUGAUCUGUAUCUUGAUCCGGGGUCCGGCGAUGCUCCCCAGUAGGGAUGGGGCCCCAAACCCCCACACCCCUGCACCGCGUUCUGAGGAUCGCCAGAAGGGCCUAUAGAGUCCAUAUCUAGUUGACCGAUGACAGCGACAUAGUAAGGACACACGGUGGAUCGGACAGGUGCCGUCUGGAGGGAUCCAUCUGCCGCUCCCUCCCAGCAGCGAACAUGAUGUCACCUGCGUGCAACGCUUUUGCCCGCGGAAGCCCACUAGAUCCUCGGAGCUGCAGGCUUUGGCGGAGGGCUGGUAUGUGGGCACCAUCUGCCUGGCCGGUACCCCAACUCCAGGCUUCCAGAAGGACAGCAGGUGUCAGCGUGAACCAUAUUGUUUUGUACAAAGGGCUGAGGCUCGGUGAGCCCACUUAUCAUUUAGGGAAGUUUUAUAUCACCGGAGGGAAAUGUUUAUCAGGCAAUUUCCCAGUUGUAAGGCAGGGGCCAAGCUCCCAAGCUCAAAAGCCCGGAAGGUUAGCACGGGCGGUUCCUUGCACUGCCCCUCCCCACCCCACCCCACCCCCCUGCUGCUCAGAGGCCUGGUGGCAGUGAUUGGUUUGGACAAGAUAAAAAGCCAGGCAAGACACGGACACCUGGGUGGCUCAGUCAGUUAAGCGUUUGCCUUCACUCAGGUCAAUUCCAGGGUGCGGACAUCAAGUCCCCCAUCCGGCUCCUUGCUCAGCAGGGAUCCUGCUUCUCCCUCUGCCCUCCCCUCCCCCUGUUUGUGCUC
Mustela erminea (ermine) is the source of this 1262-nucleotide long non-coding RNA. RefSeq lists it as uncharacterized. Lineage: Eukaryota; Metazoa; Chordata; Mammalia; Carnivora; Mustelidae. The record is from RefSeq and is a predicted model, not a curated record. The transcript is spliced from 3 exons.